GUCAGUGUGAUGUAGUGGUUUGAAUGCUGGACUAGGACUCCAAGAGAGGAGGGUUCAUUUCCCCAUGCUGUCA
Molecule: non-coding RNA, 73 nt
Organism: Phrynosoma platyrhinos (Desert horned lizard)
Lineage: Eukaryota; Metazoa; Chordata; Lepidosauria; Squamata; Phrynosomatidae
Source: the annotation of a GenBank genome assembly